Molecule: non-coding RNA, 1405 nt
Organism: Camelina sativa (false flax)
Lineage: Eukaryota; Viridiplantae; Streptophyta; Magnoliopsida; Brassicales; Brassicaceae
Source: RefSeq, a predicted model, not a curated record
CUAACGUUUUCUAUGAAACAAUAAUGAGCAAACCGACGUGAAUAUUUUUCAUAGAGACACUUGGCAAUGGUCGUUUUGCCAAUGCCUCCCAUUCCCCAGAUUCCUAUCACACGAACCUCAUCCUCAGAUUCAAUACUCAAUAGAGGAUUCAGGUGAUCCAUGUGAACUUUCAUCCCUACGAUAUCACUGAAAUCUAGCGGCUCCAUGGAGAACAAUUGUUUUGAAAUUUGCCCAACAAUAUCGGCAAUCAUCGUGGCCUCGUCUUUACUUAUGUGGAGAACAUAGAAAAAAAACAAAAAAAUGUCGCUUUAGAUAGGCAACUUUAAAUAUAUAAUAAUUCACAGAUCAUAUAUUUAUAUAUUUUCAAUCCAUAACUACUUUCUCGCAGAGUAAUAGGUUAAGGAAGAAAGGGAUCAAUGAAAAAGAAGGUAUCAGGCGAAAUGAUAGCUGCAUUUGUCUACAUCACGCCAAUAAUUAUCGGAAUAAUUUUAUUAGACUAUGUUAGUAGCUUAGCAAGGAUGAGAUAUGAUCAUGAAGAGUACAAUGAAGUGUAGACGACAGAAAGGUUCUUUCAGAGGAGUGGGAAAGAGGAUGCUUGUUAGUAAUUUACGGGGAAAAUACAGCUGAAAUGCGAAAACUCACCAAGUACUCAAAUCCUUGCCUGAUGUUCCUGCGACCUCCCUGAGAGCUUCUCUCCAUUUUUGAAUCUUUGCCGCCAUUGCUCUAUUCUUGCUGGAAAAUAGCAGCAUAAUUCUUGAACAUUCGUACCUUUCUAAGGCAAAAGUUCCUCUCUGGUGACGUACGUCGGAGGGAUCAACGUUGUAGAAGAUUGGAACGGCAGUGAGUUGCUUUUCCUUGUGAAGCUUCAUUAUCAACUGGAGCUCGUCUAGACACCAAGUCGAGGAAGCAUAGUUCGUUGAGAUAACUAGGACCGCGAAUUUUGAAUUGUGUAUAGCUUCCUUGAUUUCUCUGGAAAUGGAGUCGCCAAUCUCGAGUGUUUUAUCAUCUUUGAAGAUUUUGUCAAUUCCCUUGGCAAGAAAUGCUCUGUGCAAAUGGCUGACGAUACCUUUGCGGGUAUCUUCUCCUCGGAAGCUGAGGAACACAUCAUACUGCCUCAGAACGCGAGGUAACUCCAUCGUUGUGAUGUUUAUCUGAAUUUCUUGGCUUGGACCUCUUAAUAAGGAGCUAGGCCGUUGGUUUUUGAUUUUUUUGAUCGGAAGAAGUUCAUGAAGUUACAUUCAAGUCAACGUUAUUAAUUACGCACUGCCACGUUGUAUACAUGGGCGCGACACGCUGGAAACUGUAAUUUGAAUUCUUCAAGUUUGUGACAGAUUGGCCUUAUGAUCUGUGGCACCAUCCAUAAUGUAGCUCUCUAAAUUUAUUAAUACGACUGACCAUUCAUUUC